RNAcentral lists this ribosomal RNA (315 nucleotides) under uncultured bacterium. Its description in RNAcentral is "bacterial SSU rRNA". It matches the Rfam family "Bacterial small subunit ribosomal RNA", at positions 29 to 334 of the family's 1533-position model. The record is from RNAcentral.
AGCGAACGCUGGCGGCGUGCCUAACACAUGCAAGUCGAACGUGAAAGCCUUCGGGUGAGUAAAGUGGCGCACGGGUGAGUAACACGUGGAUAAUCUACCUUGAAGUUUGGAAUAACUUGCCGAAAGGCGAGCUAAUACCGGAUAGAUCAAAUUCAUCAUCGAGGUGAAUUUGGGAAAGGGAGGCCGCAAGGUCCCUCGCUUUAAGAUGAGUCCGCGUCUCAUUAGCUUGAUGGUGGGGUAAAGGCCUACCAUGGCGAUGAUGAGUAGCUGGUCUGAGAGGAUGAUCAGCCACACUGGAACUGAAACACGGUCCAG